Onychostoma macrolepis is the source of this 2565-nucleotide RNA transcript. RefSeq lists it as uncharacterized. The record is from RefSeq and is a predicted model, not a curated record. The transcript is spliced from 5 exons. NCBI's taxonomy places the organism in Eukaryota, Metazoa, Chordata, Actinopteri, Cypriniformes, Cyprinidae.
AUUACGGAUCAGGAGCUUGACAACAUGAUCAUUGAUGCUGUCGGUCAAAAUGAUCUAAUUGGACCUGAAUCUGUGAGGGCUCAGUUAAGCUCAGCAGGUGUGCUUGUACAGAGAAGGAGGGUGAGGGCGAGUAUGCUUCGAACCAAUCCAGAUGCAGCUGUUUUGAGAGCUACAUCACAAAGACUACAACGCAGAACAUAUCGCGUAACUGGCCCAAACUCUCUCUGGCACCUAGACGGUUAUCACAAGCUCAUAAGGUGGCGGAUUGUGAUUCAUGGAUCGAUUGAUGGCUACAGUCGGCUUGUGGUUUUCCUUGUCGCAUCCAACAACAAUCGGAGCAGAACAGUCCUGCAACAUUUCAACACAGCAGUCACUCAGUAUGGUUUGCCAUCAAAAGUGCGUUGUGAUUACGGUGGAGAGAACAUUGAUGUGUGUCUCUUCAUGAAUGUCGUUCGUGGAAUGGGCAACAGGAGUGUUCUCAGAGGUCAGAGUACACACAAUCAAAGGAUAGAGAGGUUUUGGGGCGAUCUUUGGUCUGGCAUGAUCAAUGUGUACCAUAGCCUCUUUACAUUCCUGGAGUCGGAGGGGAUCAUUGAUCUUGCCAAUGAACUGCACAUGUGGGCUUUGCACUAUGUGUAUCUCCCAAGAAUAAACAGGGAUCUCAGAGUUUUCCGCCGUCGCUGGAAUAAUCAUGGCCUGCGCACUGAGGGAUUUAGCACUCCAGUACAGCUGUUUGUCCGAGCAUGCCUGCGGUUGCAGAACAGGCCCUUGAGAGCCAUUCAGGAUGUAUUUGAAGGACCUGUCAAUGCUCCAGAACUUCAGGGUGAUGUUCUAGCACAGGAGCCCGAUCCAGCAAUAGCACAAGAAAGGGACACACCUGAGUACCAUAAUGCCGAACCUCUAUGGAGAGAGGACAUCAAUGUCCCUGAAAGUCUGUUCAAUCUAAAUGAAGAUAUAAUAUCCUGCAAUAAUAACGAUCGAAUUACGCGCGAAAUGCGUUGCGUAAGUCUGGGAAAUCCCGCCACGGCAAACAGGAUGAUGGGAAAACGUGGUCUGCGUAGAGCACAUGACUACCAACAUACAUAGUGGAGGAAGAUCAGCGCUCAGCCUGUUAUACAAGAGAAAGAACAUGUCAGAUCAGAGGUACAGAUCACGUCUCAUAAGUUUAAGAUCACAAAUAAAUGCUAACUUUGACAGGUUAAUAGGACAGGCAAGUCUGGCAAACGAGGACCAAGAGGGCAGUCUCAUUGAAAGGUAAUUUAUUGAGGCUACUGUAAAACAACGUAGAGUCAUAAGAAUACUUGCGAGAGAUACUUUAUCUUAUGUAUAACCCAACCGUAAAUCAUGUAAAUUGUGAUUGAACAUGUUACGCAUAACCGAAGGGUCGAUGUAUUAACGUUAGCGAUAUUCUAAAACCACAUUCCCAAUUUGGUGUAACGUUUUUACUUGUAGGUUGCGAGAGUUCAGAAAUUAGACAAAUCCAAGGCCUCCGAGGAGAAGGAGGAGGGCCAACCCCGCGCGGACGAUAAGGGUACGCUUGGGAUUCAUAGAACAGAGGACAAAUCGACCAGUUACUCGAGAGAGCCAGGGUAUUGUAAAUCUGCAUGUGCCUUUGGACCAGACAGAGGAGGAGUUUGUCAGUGAAAUAAGGCGUGUUUUCCCAAGGCUUGGUAAUAGAACAUUAGAGCUCUGUCGGAUGGAUGCCCAUCAUAACAUCAUUGUCGUGAAUUUGCCUGGCAUCACACCACGUGACAUAAAAGAGUGUCUUGAAUUGAAUAGGUCUGCGGUUUAUGUCAGAAUCAAGGUAACUCAUUUUGUAUAGAACCAGAAUUAUCUAUUGCUACCUUUUUUGAUGUAUUGAUCUAGUCCAUAUGAAUGGACCAUUUUUGAAACAUUGAUGGAUUUGGACAUUAUUACGCAGGUUUACUAAACUGUCGUUUAUACACACAGGGCGAGGAUCAACCUCAUGUUACUGUGCACAACCAGGCACCCUCGCCUGUAACCCCAAAUCCCCCUCCCUUUACCAGGCCAAGACUGUCAGACUCUCUGCUACCUGACAACAGCCAUGUGCCCGCCAUUGAAGAAAGUCAUGUGUCCCUAUCACCCUUAAGGAUACCCUUAAGCUCUGCACAGCAAAUUAGAAAUAGCUCAAGCAGAUUGUCUAGUCAGGUGCAUAAUGAUGUCAGUUGUGAGAAUUCAGACUGUGUGUUUGUGGAGGUAAGUUGCACUUUGGAUGAAUUGUCACUAUUUGUAAUCACAAAUGUUGCAAUAAUGAUUGCAAAGGAGGCAAUGAUGAUUAGCCUCCAAGUCACAAGGGAGGCUGGAUGAGGUUAAAACCUUUUAAUUUAACAGUUUACUCAUUUUCUGUUCAGAACUCUAUUUUUAAUGAAAUGUGUAUGCCUUUGUGAUUUUAUGUAUUUUCCCUCAAUUGAGGAAACACAACUGGCAGAGGCCAGGGGGCAAAAUCCAGAGAUGCCAUCUUUUGAACAGAUAGUGGAAACUAUAGAACAGACACGAACACUAAGGAGAAGCCAGGACAUAGAAUACCUGGAGGCCCUCAACAGA